This 3725-nucleotide long non-coding RNA is filed under the name Canis lupus familiaris (dog). RNAcentral describes it as "lncRNA (ENSCAFG00000058381.1)". The record is from RNAcentral. Lineage: Eukaryota; Metazoa; Chordata; Mammalia; Carnivora; Canidae.
UUCUACCUAUAGGUCCCACACCCUCUGGGUCCCGGCUUCUCAAAUGUGGUAGAUUGGGUCACCUAAAAUUAUUUAGCACACUGGAUGCCAUUUUCUUUUCUAAGGAAAGUGGCUCCUUACUCAAAGUGAGCUUUGUCGGGCUGCUUCUGUGUGAUGACAGCACUUUGGGUGGUGGCCUUUAUGAGGAGGCGCUCCUUGUGUACACUGAUUUGAUCGUCUUAUCAAAAAGCUAAAAAUCUGUUAGGUCUUUGCCAAACUGAACAGUGUUAAAAUAACACCACCAGAUUUGCUUGGGGGGAUUCAAAUUUGGAAAGUUUGAAGAGAGCUCAUUGCAAUUAAUCUCACCUAGAUUCAAGUGAUAUUCCCAGUGUAGCCUCAGAAACAAGGAAAAGUCUUGAAGAGCUCAAAAAAGACCUGGAAAGACCUUGCACGGUCAAAGAGAAGGAUACACCCCAGUGGCUGGAUUAGCCUUAUAGGUAGCAGUUCUGUUCAUUUCAUUCUCAAACAUGUAUUGACUACUAGAUUCUCCAUAUGACGCAUUCACAAGUAUCCCGUGCGAAGUGAAUUCAAAUCCACAUCAGCUCCCCUCUUAUUAAAGUCCGGGUGUGAACGAGGUGAAUAAAAUGGGAAAAUUCUUCAAGGUUAAAGUCUGUCUCAUUAUCUCCUCAUCCAAAACUGGCCACAGUCAUAGGCAACAUUGCAUUUCCAUCCACAGAUCAACCUCCUGGAUGUGGGAAUUGCAGUGGUUAGCCUAUCACAGGCUUCAACAUCAUAAGUUUGUAAGAGGGCUGCCCUCAGAGCAUCCUAAAUUGACGUGUGCCUGUCCCAGUUGCAAAACCUGUAGAAAGGCAACAUUGCCAUCUCAGAGAUUUUUUUUUUUUUUUGAAACCUCUCACUGGGGAAAAAGAUGCAUCCCUGCAAUGAAUGACAACACAAGCCUCUUUCUCAUCCAUCCUUAGCUAUUUUAAAGAUUUCAUUUCUUGCUUAAAACACUGCAUUUUGUGCUAUUGGCCAAAUAUCAAAAGACAAGGGCACUGCCUUGAUCUGCCUGCAGCUUUAUUUUUUUGCCUGCCUGGUUCUGUCUGCCUUACUUGACUCUCCUGGGCACCAUCUGCUUCUUCUCUGCCUCCUGGAAAGGGGCUGUGCCUUCUUGCUCCCUGUACCUUUCCUUGCAGUGGCUGGCAGGACAUGGCUGGUAUAUACUGGAGCCAAAGGUCGGGAGUGCUAUUAAUGGCAGCUCCUGAGGGCAGCAGACGGACAACCGUAGGAGAUCCCCCUGCACAUGGUCAACACCUUGUGUCAAGGGCUAAAAAUAGACCAAAUUGGAAAUGAGCAGGCAGGUCCUAAGGGGAGCCUGCCUCAUCCCAUGCCCUGGCCUGCUUCAUCCCAUGCAGAACAAUAUGCAAGCCUAGCUAGGAGAUGCUUGCCCCUGCUAAUCCCUAACAUGAAUCACAAGACCCCACAAUGCAAACUGAACUCAGUCAGCUCACCCAUGCUCAUACAGGAAGGACUACUCCUAAAAUCCAUCCUUAAACCAAGGAGGACAAAAAAAAAUAAUAAUUUCCUUUGGGUAUAGUGCCAAUUGGCAACUCAGUGAACAUCUUUCUAGAAGUAGCCUUUGGCCAUAUGUCAUGGUGGAUAUAGACAACUGGCCACCUAUUAAAUGAACUCCCUUGGUCUGUUUCUCUAUACCCAACAUAGUUCUGGGGUCCUCAGGCUACAGUGGGGUUAGGAGAUUUGUUUUAGCUGUAGACCUCCUAGAAGCUUUUCUUUAGACCCAGAAAGAUCAGGAAAUAUCACAGGCUGAUUCAGGGUCCCCACUGUGAUCAUGGAUAACUCACUUCACCUCUCGGUGCCUUGGUUUCUCCAUCUGUAAAGUGGAGGGAGAGAAGGCCUACUUCUUCUUUCUCUCCUGCUCAGGGAUACUGUGAGGGUUCAGUCAUUAUUGCCUGUAGCGAAGGCAUCAUAUAAAGAAUAGUGGUGACCUCGUUACUUGGGAAGUAGAACCACCGAAGGAUACUAUGUUCUCCAGGUGUGGUGGCACCUGGAAGCCCACAGGAUGAGCAGUACAGCUGGAAGGGAGAAGUCUCACACACCUAUAGUUCUUAGAUACUUCACAGCACUGUGAACCCAGCACAACGGUACUCUGGUCAGGAGACCAGGGGUCACUUAGCUCAAGCCAGCCACUUGUAAUUCUAAACCAAAUGUCCUGAUAUUAAUUUUUCCUAAAGUAUCAGAGAAUAUAUGGAGGGAUCAAUUUGAAAACUGAUAUUCAUUGAGCUUUGGGCAGACAAGAGAAUGGGUGCAUGGGGAGCAUUUGGAUGGUUUUUAACGUGGGUGAAAGCUCUUUAGGAACUAUGCCUCACUUUUGUUCUUCCGCACAGUCUUUUUCAACUUUAAGGCUCACAUCAUCAAAUGGACUCAUUUCUUUGCCUCUUUGCAGAAUAAAGAAACAAAACUUUGUUUUUUUAAAAAAAAAAAUCCAUCAGCCAAAAUGUGGGUCCCAAUGGUGGGUUUUAAUCAUUCCCUGGUGUGCUUUGAGUGGAGCCUACAGGCAAAGAUUCAGAGACAAACAGGGGCUGGGGAAUAUCACUAUUGAUUUUUAUCCAAAUCAGGGUAUUUUUUUCCUCAACGUUUGAAUUGGAAAAUUUAGUUGAGUUUCUUUUUCUUUCCUUUUUUCUUUUUUUUUUUUUCUUUUUACUAUGGUUUAACUGUUAUCAAUUCAACUACCAAGAUACCCUUUGAGCAAGAAAACAGACCCAUGCUAAGAACCUUCAUGUUCUUCUUAGGACUAAACUAGAGUGAGGGCAGGUGGGAGCAGUGGAGAAUGACACUAGCACUCCAGGAGGACCAGCUACAACUUUGAUUUUCUAUUGGUCCUGAGAAUCUUCUUGGAGAGGAAAAUUCUAGAAGCUUUACAUGUUCUGGAUCAGUCAACCUGGCUCUGGCUCUGCCCUAUUCCUUGGGGUUCAGGUGUAUUUCAAUGUAAAAAUUCUAUCAAAAAAAAAAAAAAAAGGCACCUUCUGAGACUGUCCCAAAGGAACAGAUAGUUCACCCAGGCAAGUUCUAGUUGUUGCUGCAAAUCCUCCUGCUCUUUGGCUAUGGAUCCCUGACAAGAACUCCUUUCCCACCUGCUCUGACUCUGCUCUCCAAGACUAAUAUUAUUGUUUUGACAGCACAAGGGACCAGACCAUAGUUUGGAAUUCAAUAAUGACAUCUGUUUGAUUUUGUAUCUGACCAUUCUGUGGAUAGGCCAAAUCGUGCUGGAAUUAUUUGUUUCCACAAGGUAUUUCUGAUGGUUACCUGAAAGAAGGAAUAAACGAGAUCUCAGAUUGACUCCCUGUUCUCAUCGGCACUCCUCUUUUGACUGGGAUGGAUGGCAAAUGAAUUGUAUGGCAUUUAUGAAUGAGGACUUCGAAGAUGGACACGUGGAAGCACAGAGAACAAAAUGACUUGGUAGAUGGGUAGGAAGAAUGAUAAAGAAGAGGAAGGCUUCCAGAAGUAUGUGGAAAGAAAUUAUUUGCAACCAUCUAAUUGUUACUUCCUACACACUCUGGGGCGGAAAUAGCAAAGCAUAUUCUUUUCAGAGGAAAUCAAUUUUACUGAGUGAACUAUUUAAGCAUUAUUGUUUUACUAAACAGUCAGAGAAACCAUCUCAAGAAAAGAAAGUCACCUUCUCAUGAACAGAUCAUGUCACUAGAAGUAAAAAAAAAAAAAAAAAAAAA